GGUUAGUGGAGGCAGGUAGUCUAAUGGUUAGAGGAGGCAGGUAGUCUAGUGGUUAGAGGAGGAAUGUAGUCUAGUGGUUAGAGGAGGCAGGUAGUCUAGUGGUUAGAGGAGGCAGGUAGUCUAGUGGUUAGAGGAGGCAGGUAGUCUAGUGGUUAGAGGAGGCAGGUAGUCUAGUGGUUAGAGGAGGCAGGUAGUCUAGUGGUUAGAGGAGGCAGGUAGUCUAGUGGUUAGAGGAGGCAGGUAGUCUAGUGGUUAGUGGAGGCAGGUAGUCUAGUGGUUAGAGGAGGCAGGUAGUCUAGUGGUUAGUGGAGGCAGGUAGUCUAGUGGUUAGAGGAGGCAGGUAGUCUAGUGGUUAGAGGAGGCAGGUAACCUAGUGGUUAGAGGAGGCAGGUAGUCUAGUGGUUAGAGGAGGCAGGUAGUCUAGUGGUUAGAGGAGGCAGGUAGUCUAGUGGUUAGUGGAGGCAGGUAGUCUAGUGGUUAGUGGAGGCAGGUAGUCUAAUGGUUAGAGGAGGCAGGUAGUCUAGUGGUUAGAGGAGGCAGGUAGUCUAGUGGUUAGAGGAGGCAGGUAGUCUAGUGGUUAGAGGAGGCAGGUAGUCUAGUGGUUAGAGGAGGUAGGUAGUCUAGUGGUUAGAGGAGGCAGGAAGUCUAUUGGUUAAAGGAGGCAGGUCGUCUAGUGGUUAGAGGAGGCAGGUAGUCUAGUGGUUAGAGGAGGCAGGUAGUCUAGUGGUUAGAGGAGGCAGGUAGUCUAGUGGUUAGAGGAGGCAGGUAGUCUAGUGGUUAGAGGAGGCAGGUAGUCUAGUGGUUAGAGGAGGCAGGUUUUCUAGUGGUUAGAGGAGGCAGGUAGUCUAGUGGUUAGAGGAGGCAGGUAGUCUAGUGGUUAGAGGAGGCAGGUAGUCUAGUGGUUAGAGGAGGCAGGUAGUCUAGUGGUUAGAGGAG
Molecule: long non-coding RNA, 936 nt
Organism: Oncorhynchus tshawytscha (Chinook salmon)
Lineage: Eukaryota; Metazoa; Chordata; Actinopteri; Salmoniformes; Salmonidae
Source: Ensembl